UACUAAUACCCCAUAAUAUCAUAGAAGGCACCUUUUAUGGUUGAAAAUUCCGAUGGUUAGAGAUGGGCAUGCGUUGUAUUAGCUAGUUGGUGGGGUAACGGCUCACCAAGGCGACGAUACAUAGGGGGACUGAGAGGUUAACCCCCCACACUGGUACUGAGACACGGACCAGACUCCUACGGGAGGCAGCAGUGAGGAAUAUUGGUCAAUGGACGCAAGUCUGAACCAGCCAUGCCGCGUGCAGGAUGACGGCUCUAUGAGUUGUAAACUGCUUUUGUACGAGGGUAAACGCAGAUACGUGUAUCUGUCUGAAAGUAUCGUACGAAUAAGGAUCGGCUAACUCCGUGCCAGCAGCCGCGGUAAUACGGAGGAUUCAAGCGUUAUCCGGAUUUAUUGGGUUUAAAGGGUGCGUAGGCGGUUUGAUAAGUUAGAGGUGAAAUUUCGGGGCUCAACCCUGAACGUGCCUCUAAUACUGUUGAGCUAGAGAGUAGUUGCGGUAGGCGGAAUGUAUGGUGUAGCGGUGAAAUGCUUAGAGAUCAUACAGAACACCGAUUGCGAAGGCAGCUUACCAAACUAUAUCUGACGUUGAGGCACGAAAGCGUGGGGAGCAAACAGGAUUAGAUACCCUGGUAGUCCACGCAGUAAACGAUGAUAACUCGUUG
RNAcentral lists this ribosomal RNA (662 nucleotides) under uncultured Rikenellaceae bacterium. RNAcentral describes it as "bacterial SSU rRNA". It matches the Rfam family "Bacterial small subunit ribosomal RNA", at positions 161 to 822 of the family's 1533-position model. Lineage: Bacteria; Pseudomonadati; Bacteroidota; Bacteroidia; Bacteroidales; Rikenellaceae. The record is from RNAcentral.